AUGUCAUUAUGAGGGCAGUUUCGCAAUAACUCCUUGAACCGCUCUCAUGCCUCAUAUAGAGAUUCUUCAUGAAAUUGUUGAAAUGAAGUGAUUUCAUUUCGAAGCU
Non-coding RNA from Gossypium raimondii (Peruvian cotton), 106 nucleotides. The record is from Rfam. Lineage: Eukaryota; Viridiplantae; Streptophyta; Magnoliopsida; Malvales; Malvaceae.